This 112-nucleotide ribosomal RNA is filed under the name Prevotella sp. oral taxon 472 str. F0295. The record is from RNAcentral. RNAcentral also lists the same sequence under 1 other name. Lineage: Bacteria; Pseudomonadati; Bacteroidota; Bacteroidia; Bacteroidales; Prevotellaceae.
AGGUGGUUAUUGCGGCGGUGUCCCACCUCUUCCCAUUCCGAACAGAGAAGUUAAGCCCGCCUGCGCCGAUGGUACUGCAAUGCAAUGCGGGAGAGUAGGUGGCCGCCUUUUU